Molecule: RNA transcript, 5138 nt
Organism: Bacillus rossius redtenbacheri
Lineage: Eukaryota; Metazoa; Arthropoda; Insecta; Phasmatodea; Bacillidae
Gene name: protein odr-4 homolog
Exons: 9
Source: RefSeq, a predicted model, not a curated record
GCUGUUGCUGUCCAAAUGCAUAAUUUUGACUGCGGUGUUAUAAAUGUGUACGAUCUGCAAUGCAGUUUGAAAGCAUUUUGUUUUUUUGAAACAUCUGAAUCUAUUAUUUUUCUAAGUUUAAAUUUCUGGCUGAUGGAGGAAUUAAUAUUGUCUCGAAGACAUCUACAAUAUUUAUUAGGAUUUAGCAAAGAAAAUUUGUUUACUACUGGCCCGAUAUUCGGACAGUGUGAUGGUGACAAGAAAUUUAUGGUUCAUGUGGCACAGGCAGCUGAUCCUACCGCUGCUGCACUGCCGCCCACAGACACCAUAGAGCAGAUAGACAUCAACACCGUCGCUGAGCAUGCAAAACAAGCAAUUCGUGUUCUCCCGGGGGGUAUGUCAGUGUUGGGCAUUUUUGUGGUCGGCCCUAACCUGGCCAGUCCUGAAGGAAAAGCCCAUUUGUGUCAAAGUUUGAAGGUGCUGGCAGAUAUGUGCUCCUCUGACUUCUACCAGAUGGGGAUACCUUCAAACAGGAAAUUCGUUGUACUUUCUGCAAAUAGUUCUGAAAAAACUCUUGACUGCAGUUCCUGUGAGAUUUUAAAAAAAGGGGUGUCUAUUAAACCAAUGACAUACAGUGUAGUGCCUGAAAUUAUAUGGCAUGAGAUUGCUGCAUUGGUUGAUUUAGAUAUUCAAAUGUUGAUUUCAGCAAACAGGACAGCUUUACCAUUGUGGGACCAACUUAAGCCAUUGCUCCUUAAGCUGGAAGAGGUGAUAAACAGUAAUGGAAUUGCAUUUCCAAAAGCAGGAAUCGUGAAGAUCACAGAUACAAUAUCGGAAGUACUGAUGAAACAGAAGAAAAAUUUGGCAUCUCUGCCUAUACAAAAUGAUUUGGAUGAAGGAGAUAAGCAAGCACUUAUGGUGGAUGUUAUGUUGAAAGAGGAUUUGUCAGAGAGCAAAGAUGUCAAUAUUGUAAGUGGAGAUGGAAGCAGAAUGAUUUUGUCCGGUGCAGUCAUGUGUCGAACAUACGUUCAUAACGAUGCUGAUGUACAAAUGUGUAAGAAGGUUAUAAAUGAAGAUAUAAUGCACUCAUUAAUUGCAAGAUUAGAGAUGCAUUGUGAUAGUCUUAUUGAAGAGGAACCAGAUGAUGUGUGUGAUGAUGUUGUGAUACAUGAGCCUCCACGGAGAAUGAUGGUCCGUCUGCCUUGUUCAGAGGUCCUUUUCUCAGAUUAUUUGUUUCCUGGGGAACUAGUGACUGAAGCAAAGCAGUCAUUGCAAAGUCUGUUGGAUGUCAGUGUACGUGAUGUUGAUAUUUUGCACUCUUCUGCAGGAUUAUCAGGUUAGUAACUAAAAUCUGUUACUUUUUCUUAAAUAUUUUUUGUUAAAAAUUUCACUGUUAUUGAUGACCCGCUACUCGGCACUUGUUGGCCAGGACCUUGUACACUCUCUGUGAAGGCUACAGCUGAAACUGUACGGGACAGCUGGGCACCCCAGGGGGACGCUGUGUGGUCACGCAUGUGCUGGAGCGAGGGGUGGGGUUGAGGGACGCACAACCCUUCCACAGCUCUGAGUAGAAGGGUUAGGGGUAUUUUUCUGGAGAGCUACACUGGGCCGGUGGGACUGCCCGGCUGCUUCGUAGCAGGAUUAUGAGUAGAGAAUAGAUUUUACAGUUUUAUUUUAAGGCCAUUUUUGUUUUUAAAACAGGAGGUUUGUGUGUUAGUGCUUUUAUUUGUAUGAAUUUUGUUUCUUAAUAAAGAUAUAUUAUUCAAGAAAUAUGACACUCAACUGUACUAUUUCACCAGAAAAUAUAAUUUUAAUUAUGUUACAUAAUACAUGUUUAUAAUAAUAUAAAUUGUUCAAAUAAGCUUGUCUAGUAUAGAAUCACCUGAAACGGUGAUCAUAAUUUAGCAAGUAUAUGUUGAAAAAUUGUACUGGCAAUAAUUUAAAAAUUAGUUUUAAAAUUGUUGCUAGUUCAAUAUAAUAUAAUUUGUUUAUAUUAUACUUUUUUGGUCUACACUGUUUGCUAUAAAGUAGGUACAUGCUAAAUAGAUGAUAUUAAUUGGUUUAAAUAUGUUAAAAAUUAUUUUCUUAUGAUUUGAAUUAAUUUUUCUUAAAAACCGAUUAAUUUCAUUUUUUACCUUGUAUUUCGCUGCUGUAUAGUGUAUUGGUAUGCUUUUCCCUGUUACUUCAGUUCUAUUGCAAGUCACCUAAUAAUCUUGUCCCUAAUUAUGAGUAAAGAAACAGAGCUGUCUCAUGGACAUUACCAGUUUUGAGUCAGCUGAAAAUUACAGUUAUGUAGAGUCAUGCGAGUAUAGGCUUUUUAGGACGAGUCGAGUUCGAGCGAGUAUUCAAGAAAUGUUUCGAGUUCGAGUUAAAUUCGAGUCGAGUAGUAAAAUCCAUAAAUAUCCAUUAUUUAUAUAUAUAACUGUCAUGUUUAAAGACCAGCAAAUAUCAAGGCCCUAUUCAAAUCUCGGGUGUGAGGAUUCUCAUUGCUGCAAAUAUUUUCAUGGUCUUUAAUAAUUUUGUUUCUUUGAAAAAUGCUGAGUAUUAUAAAAUUUACAUGUAAACAAAAAAUAAGUAUAAAGGCAUGUUUUAAUCACCGACACUGAGCAAAAUUUUAUUCAAAACCAUAGCAUAAGUGGAAAAGUAUUUCUCAACAUUCUUAUCAGUCACCUAGCUGCAGGGUAUAUUAAGGAUUUCCACUGUUCCAGGAAAUUUUUGUAGCCAUACAAUAAAUAUCAACUUUUUUUAGAAUAAUAGUUAUACUGUAUAUAUUUUAAUAUAGGCCUACAUUACUAAGCCUGAACAUAACUCAAUAUUAAAAAAAAAAAAAAAGACAGUAACAUUUUACUAUAGGAAUGAUCAUAAUUAACAUUUUUGUAAAAGUCUUUCAUGGAGAAACACCAGCUGUUCAAUGUGCUCUGGAGCAAGGUUUUCUCGGCGUGUGGAUACAGUAGAAUCUCGUUGUAAAGUACAUCAAUAAAUACUCAACUUUUAUACUUAGUAAUGAAAGUACUUUAUUCUGAAAGUUACCUUUAAAACGUAGUAUUUUUGAAUUUUUAAAAAUAAAGUAGUAGGGGAUUAAACAUUAGCUUGGAAGCAAAUAUUUGUAAAACAACAAGAAUUUAAAAAAAAAAUUACUGAACUUAAUACAGUAGCCUAAAUUCUAGGCCUACAUAUACAAAAUUUAUAUCUGUCGAACACAAAAUGACAAAUGGGUUAAACUAUUUUGCAGAUAUGUACAUUUAUUGGGAUAGAAUUCCCUCAUCUUCUAGGCGAAGUCUCUUGCGACCAGCAGAUAAAGAUGACUGUUCAUACAGUUUAAUAAUUUUUUCACAAUCUUUUAUUAUUGUUGACAGUGAAGUGGGCACAAAACCAAACGACCGUGACAUAUCUGCAUUUUUCCUGCCUUUGUCAACUUCUUUUACAAUUUCCACUUUAUCCUUCAAAGUAAACUGCUUGUGUUUCUUUUUAUUUUUUUGGCCAUCCAUCCUGAUAAAAUAUUCAAUCAACAAUAUUAUUUGCCUCGUGCCACGUCAAACAUAAACAAACCUCUCAUCCAUAGAUAACUAUAGCUCUGCACUAGUAGCGCGCGUCGCGAGCAUGGCUGUGCCAGGCGACAUUCCGACCUUCAUGGCAAAACAAUUAAAGCGUGUCAGCCAUGUUGUGACACCAAACAGUUCAAAAAUUAACCUGCAUAAAUUAACAUUAUUAGAUUUUCUAUGUUGUAUAUAAGUUCAAAUAUAAUUUUUAUUUAAUGUUUGUAUCUGCGGUAAUUGAAACUUUUAAAACGUGGUAUAUAAAUAACCAAAAGAUGGUGCAGCUAAAAACAAUUGUCUUCAAGAGGGGCGAGACAGCAAUCGAUUGUUUAGAUCGUCUCGUGCACUAAAGUGUGUAAUCCAUGGAGGACGAAUGGCGCAUUAUACUGUGUUUGUUUACGUUUUAUACUCGUUAACAAUUCUUGAAAGUGCGCAAACACAGUAACUAUUAUCUAAAAUUUUCCUGAUAACUGGAAAAGAAUUGUCGGAAGAGUUUAAAUAUGAUGAAUUGAAUACCAGAACAUUAGAAAACACUAAUGUUUUGCCUGCAAAAAAUGAUGUUUUUAAAUUUAUUUUUUUGGUCCUAGGCAUUCUGGUACCAAUUAUAGGAUUUCUUAUAUUUCAUCACCAGCAGUGAAGUAUGAAGAUGUUUUUCAUAUCAUAACCAAGCAUUUAUAUAAUCAUUGUUUGACUGUGAUUUAUUGGUAAUAUGGUGAUCAACCCAGGUUAGCCUUUUAACAUUUAUAAAAGAGAAGCUUUUGCAAAAGGGGGUAGUUUCCUCAAGUUAUUUUUUGCUUCUAUAUAUAGUUUUGUGUUUUUGCCUAUAAUUUAAGCUUAAGUUGUUUUAUUUUUUCAAGAAAGGUUUAUAUAAUAGUUUUAAAAUCUUUAUAGGUGGUUUUAUAUUUCAACUAUAGCAUAAGUUAAAAGCAUGUAUUCAUAUUGUAUUUAGUUUGAACUAUCUAUUUGUAUGUAGCCUUCAUCGCAAAACUGUUUAGCUGUUGGAAUUCAGUUAUAAAUAUAUAAAAACAUAAGUUUUCUCAAAUUUUGGGAACUUUUUUUUCAGAUUUGGACAUUUUUAAAAUGAAAUCCUAGAAAUAAGCUUAUUUACACAAAGGCAACUAACUUACAAGUGGUUAAUUCAAAACUGUAUACAAAAUGAAUAUUUACUCUCAUUUCAUGCUAGCAUUGCUAUAUAAAUCAGCCUUUGAAGUUUUUAAAACUUUUGAAUAAACAAAAUCAUUUAUAACAACUUCUCAUAACAUCUUAGUUAUAUUCUGGAUUCAAUUAAAAUCAUGGGUAAAAUCACAGAAUUUUAUGAGCACAAUAAUGAAAGAAACUAGCCUCUUAGCCUGAAAAUAGCUUCGGGGGUUGCAAGGAGGUGAACGGCAUGGAAAAGAAGUAAGUAUUCUGUUGCUUCAAAUGUGUCACAUCAUGUCUGACAUGUUUAGUGAGGUCCUGACAAGACAUGAAAUCAUCUCCUGCACUAUAUUGUUAGUGAUGUCCUGAUGCUCAAUAAUGAAAGUCGUUAUCUGUGUUAGUUGAGAUGUAUGCAAGUGUAUUUUUGAUAAGUCUUAUUUUGCAAUUGGUGGAUGCUUUCAGAAAAUAAAAUUUUCAAGCAAUAAA